Andrographis paniculata is the source of this 1429-nucleotide long non-coding RNA. RefSeq lists it as uncharacterized. Lineage: Eukaryota; Viridiplantae; Streptophyta; Magnoliopsida; Lamiales; Acanthaceae. The record is from RefSeq and is a predicted model, not a curated record. The transcript is spliced from 2 exons.
AAUCUAAAUAUCCAAAAAUCUUCUCUUGGUCAAUGAAAAAUAUGGAGACCCAAACUUUUUCCAAUCAAAUACCUAAUCUCGCACUUGAUACAUCCAAAAUUGUUGCCCACUAUAUACUUGGCCAACUUCUAUUUCAAGGAUGAAUCUCGACCGUUCGAUAAAGCGUACUCCAAUUUGGACCCAUCCUUACUCCAAAAACCGUAUAAUGAUACUAAACUUGGUUGAAACCAUUCAUUCACUCACAUUCUUUUCUCCCUACGAUCUAAAAAUCCUCUCACGAUAAAUCCACCCAUUCUUCUUCUCAAUUAUCCCUCUGCAAUAUUUUUCUUGCCUUUCCUGAUCCGUGGAACUUCGGAGAUGUUUUGUUCCAGCACCAUCUUGGCUCUCUUCAUGUCUUCUUCGAUUCUGGUGAUUUGAUUUGAGCCUUUUAUGGUAACAAAUUUGUUUAUUUGGCGAUGACGCACCCUAGUUUUGUGAGCUAAAAAACCAGGUGGAUGAUUUGUUGAAUUCUUGGAUCAAUGUAAAGUAUUGAGACCCAAAUUUUCCAAUCCAAUACCUAAUCCCACACUUAGAUGCAACAAAAUUUGUAGCCCGCCAUCUACUUUGGCCCACUCCUAUUUCCAGGAUGAAUAUCGGUCGCUUGAUCAACCGUACUCCAAUUUGGACCCAUCAUUACUCCAGAAACCCUAAGUAUAAAGAUACUACACUUUGUCGAUGGAAUUCAUUUACUCACCUUUGCUUUCUCACUUUGGCUGCGCACUUCUUCCUACGAUCUAAAUCCACCCAUUCUUCUUCUCAAUUAUCCCACUGCAAUCUGUGUCUCGCCAUUCCUAAUCCGUGGAACUUCGGAGAUGUUUUGUUUCAACAUCAUGUUGGCUCUCUUCAUGCCUGCUUCGAUUCGGGUGAUUUGAUUUUAGCCUUUUAUGGAUUCGUGUGUGAUGUUUUCGAUUUCGGUUGUUUUGGGUAUCUGACACUAUAUCAUCUUCUUGAUAGCUUAGUGUGUGUUUUGGUUGGAAUCAUGGACAAUUAGUUUAGCGAUCCAAUUAGGGUUGAGUAGACACAAAAAGUUGUCGAGUAUCUGAAAGACACACAGAAGCAAAAUAUUCUUUACAACAACCUCAAGAUUGUAUAGAUGAAAUUGUUUGCGGUGAAAUGGAAUUUGUGGAGCUUCUUCUAUUGUGGACGACAGAACUUGAACAAUUGGAACUAGUACCUCAUUCUAUGGAUGAGGGUGAAUUGGAUAGGGCAAAAAGAGAGUUUGAGUUGUUCUAUUGGGAGUCAUCUACCAAAGCUAAAUUUUUCAUAGAUAAACAUAGAGUUCAAAAUUUUGACUUUGGCCAUGAAUCAUUGCUUUGUUGUGGAUUUUGUAUUAAGCUGCAUUCCCGAAUCUCUUCAUCUUUCUUUUGUUUUAUUAAUUAUUAUUUUUUUU